RNAcentral lists this ribosomal RNA (984 nucleotides) under Triticum aestivum (bread wheat). Its description in RNAcentral is "partial small subunit ribosomal RNA". The record is from RNAcentral. Lineage: Eukaryota; Viridiplantae; Streptophyta; Magnoliopsida; Poales; Poaceae.
AUGUACUACGCGGUAGUAGCACUGGUGAUCCUACUGGGAGGAGGAUCGCUCGCGAAUGCGGCCAACCAGAAGGAGGUGCUGAGGGCCUUCCUCAAAUCGAGGGCCCAGACGAGCGCGAACGGGCCCGCGGAGCCGGACGCGUGGGCCGACCCGAUCAGCAGCUUCCGCCACCUGCCCACCAAGUGCGAGACCCCGCCGGCAGGCAGCAGGGAGGCCGACAGGAUCGCGGCGCUGCCCGGCCAGCCCCCGCGCGUCAACUUCGGCCAGUACUCCGGCUACGUCACCGUGAGCGAGGAGUACGGCCGCGCGCUCUUCUACUACUUCGUCGAGGCCCCCUACGAGGCCUCCUCCAAGCCGCUCGUGCUCUGGCUCAACGGCGGGCCCGGGUGCUCGUCGCUCGGCUCCGGCGCCAUGGCGGAGCUCGGCCCGUUCCGUGUGAACCCUGAUGGGAAGACCCUGAGCAGAAACAGGCAUGCCUGGAACAAUUUGGCGAAUGUGAUCUUCCUGGAGUCGCCGGCGGGCGUCGGGUUCUCCUAUUCGAACGCAUCGAUACCGAGCGGCGACACGAGGACAGCGGUGGACGCCUACAUGUUCCUGCUCCACUGGCUGGAGAGGUUCCCCGAGUACAAGGGCCGCGACUUCUACAUCUCCGGGGAGAGCUACGCCGGACACUACGUCCCCCAGCUCGCCACCGUCAUCGUCGCCCUCCGCGAACUCGGUGCCACGGACAUGAACCUCAAGGGCAUCUUCGUCGGCAAUCCGCUCCUCGAUAAGUCCAAUAACUCAUAUGGAAAGUUAGAGUUCCUGUGGAGCCACGGGGUGAUCUCCGACGAGGUGUGGGCCAGCGUCAACGCGCCGUGCAACAACGGGUGCGACGACUCGUUCGAUGAGGGCGACAUCGAUACGUACAACAUUUACGCCCCGGUCUGCAUCCAGUCGCCAGACGGGGGUAUCCACCCCAGCAGCUACGUGAUGGUAUACUGA